Molecule: ribosomal RNA, 550 nt
Filed under: uncultured archaeon
Lineage: Archaea
Description: bacterial SSU rRNA
Rfam family: Archaeal small subunit ribosomal RNA
Source: RNAcentral
UGGUGCGCAGGCGCGAAAACUUUACAAUGCUGGAAACAGCGAUAAGGGGACCUCGAGUGCCAGGUUACAAAUCUGGCUGUCGUGAUGCCUAAAAAGCAUUGCAUAGCAAGGGCCGGGCAAGACCGGUGCCAGCCGCCGCGGUAACACCGGCGGCUCGAGUGGUAACCGUUAUUAUUGGGUCUAAAGGGUCUGUAGCCGGCCGGAUAAGUCUCUUGGGAAAUCCAGCAGCUCAACUGAUGGGCUUUCAGGAGAUACUGUCUGGCUCGAGGCCGGGAGAGGUGAGAGGUACUUCAGGGGUAGGGGUGAAAUCUUGUAAUCCUUGAAGGACCACCAGUGGCGAAGGCGUCUCACCAGAACGGACCUGACGGCAAGGGACGAAAGCUAGGGGCACGAACCGGAUUAGAUACCCGGGUAGUCCUAGCCGUAAACGAUACUCGCUAGGUGUCGGCCACGGUGCGACCGUUGUCGGUGCCGUAGGGAAGCCGUGAAGCGAGCCACCUGGGAAGUACGGCCGCAAGGCUGAAACUUAAAGGAAUUGGCGGGGGAGCAC